Molecule: ribosomal RNA, 440 nt
Filed under: uncultured bacterium
Lineage: Bacteria
Description: partial 16S ribosomal RNA
Rfam family: Bacterial small subunit ribosomal RNA
Source: RNAcentral
CCUACGGGGGGCAGCAGUGGGGAAUAUUGCACAAUGGGGGAAACCCUGAUGCAGCGACGCCGCGUGAGUGAUGAAGUUUUUCGGUAUUUAAAGCUCUAUCAGCAGGGAAGAUAAUUACGGUACCUGACUAAGAAGCUCCGGCUAAAUACGUGCCAGCAGCCGCGGUAAUACGUAUGGAGCAAGCGUUAUCCGGAUUUACUGGGUGUAAAGGGGGCGCAUACGGCAGGGCAAGUCUGAUGUGAAAGUCCGGGGCUCAAACCCGGGACUGCAUUGGAAACUGUCCGGCUAGAGUGCAGGAGAGGUAAGUGGAAUUCGUAGUGUAGCGGUGAAAUGCGUAGAUAUUAGGAGGAACACCAGUGGCGAAGGCAGCUUACUGGACUGUAACUGACGUUGAGGCUCGAAAGCGUGGGGAGCAAACAGGAUUAGAUACCCGUGUAGUC